RNAcentral lists this ribosomal RNA (253 nucleotides) under uncultured prokaryote. Its description in RNAcentral is "partial 16S ribosomal RNA". It matches the Rfam family "Bacterial small subunit ribosomal RNA", at positions 524 to 776 of the family's 1533-position model. The record is from RNAcentral.
UACGGAGGGAGCUAGCGUUAUUCGGAAUUAUUGGGCGUAAAGGGCGUGUAGGCGGCUUCGUAUGUCCCAUGUGCCCUCCCUCUUCUCCCACGGGGAACUGCAUGGGAAACUGCGAGGCUUGAGUCCGGGAGAGGUGAGUGGAAUUCCCAGUGUAGCGGUGAAAUGCGUAGAUAUUGGGAGGAACACCGGUGGCGAAGGCGGCUCACUGGACCGGUACUGACGCUGAGACGCGAAAGCCAGGGGAGCAAACGGG